RNAcentral lists this ribosomal RNA (406 nucleotides) under uncultured bacterium. RNAcentral describes it as "partial 16S ribosomal RNA". It matches the Rfam family "Bacterial small subunit ribosomal RNA", at positions 30 to 526 of the family's 1533-position model. The record is from RNAcentral.
AUUGAACGCUGGCGGCAGGCUUAACACAUGCAAGUCGACCGAGUGGCGGACGGGUGAGUAAUGUCUGGGAAACUGCCUUAUGGAGGGGGAUAACUACUGGAAACGGUAGCUAAUACCGCAUACCAUCGGAUGUGCCCAGAUGGGAUUAGCUAGUAGGUGGGGUAAUGGCUAACCUAGCCGACGAUCCCUAGCUGGUCUGAGAGGAUGACAAGCCACACGGGUACUGAGACACGGCCCAGACUCCUACGGGAGGCAGCAGUGGGGAAUAUUGCACAAUGGGCGCAAGCCUGAUGCAGCCAUGCCGCGUGAAUGAAGAAGGCCUUCGGGUUGUAAAGUUCUUUCAGACGGGAGGCGUUAACGGCAGAAGAAGCACCGGCUAACUCCGGGCCAGCCGCCGCGGUAAGUC